This 355-nucleotide ribosomal RNA is filed under the name uncultured bacterium. RNAcentral's name for it is "partial 16S ribosomal RNA". It matches the Rfam family "Bacterial small subunit ribosomal RNA", at positions 338 to 685 of the family's 1533-position model. The record is from RNAcentral.
CCUACGGGGGGCAGCAGUAGGGAAUUUUCGUCAAUGGGCGCAAGCCUGAACGAGCGAUGCCGCGUGAGUGAAGAAGGCCUUCGGGUCGUAAAGCUCUGUUGCGGGGGAAAAAAGGCAGCAUCAGGAAAUGGGUGCUGACUGAUGGUGCCCCGCCAGAAAGUCACGGCUAACUACGUGCCAGCAGCCGCGGUAAUACGUAGGUGGCGGGCGUUAUCCGGAAUGAUUGGGCGUAAAGGGUGCGCAGGGGGUCCUGCAAGUCUGGGGUGAAACGGAUGAGCUAAACUCAUGCAUGGCUUUGGAAACGGGAGGACUGGAGAGCAGGGGAGGGCGGUGGAACUCCAGGUGUGGCGGUAAA